GGAGUUAGCCGGUGCUUCUUCUGUGAGUGAUGUCCUUCCUGCCGGUUAUUGACCCGCAGGCCUUCUUCCUCACUGAAAGUGCUUUACAACCCGAAGGCCUUCUUCACACACGCGGCAUGGCUGGAUCAGGGUUGCCCCCAUUGUCCAAUAUUCCCCACUGCUGCCUCCCGUAGGAGUCUGGGCCGUGUCUCAGUCCCAGUGUGGCUGAUCAUCCUCUCAGACCAGCUACGGAUCGUCGCCUUGGUGAGCCGUUACCUCACCAACCAGCUAAUCCGACAUAGGCUCAUCCGAUAGCGCGAGGCCCGAAGGUCCCCCGCUUCCCCCGUAGGGCGUAUGCGGUAUUAGCCUGGGUUUCCCCAGGUUAUCCCCCACUACCGGGCAGAUUCCUAUGCAUUACUCACCCGUCCGCCGCUCGCCACCAGGGAGCAAGCUCCCCGUGCUGCCGCUCGACUUGCAUGUGUUAGGCCUGCCGCCAGCGUUCAAUCUGAGCCAGAAUCAAACUCUGA
This 506-nucleotide ribosomal RNA is filed under the name uncultured bacterium. RNAcentral describes it as "partial 16S ribosomal RNA". The record is from RNAcentral.